GCCCGGGUGGUGGAAUCUGGUAGACACAUACGUUUGAGGGGCGUAGGGCUUCGGCCGUGGGGGUUCGAAUCCCCCCCCGGGCA
RNAcentral lists this transfer RNA (83 nucleotides) under Caldifarciminota bacterium. RNAcentral describes it as "tRNA-Leu". It matches the Rfam family "tRNA". From Rfam's summary of the family: Transfer RNA (tRNA) molecules are approximately 80 nucleotides in length. Their secondary structure includes four short double-helical elements and three loops (D, anti-codon, and T loops). RNAcentral also lists the same sequence under 1 other name. Lineage: Bacteria; Pseudomonadati; Caldifarciminota. The record is from RNAcentral.